AUGCACAAUGCGGCCCCUGUGCUCCGCGGGGGAUUUGUCAGUACCUGCUGGUGGCCUGGCUUUCAUUACUAUUGUCAUGGUUAUUGCUACAGCCUCUCAGCCAUGGGACCAGAAGCUUAUCUGCAUGCACAGCCAGGCCCUCCCCGAUGGCUGAACCUCAGCCACCAGCACCCUGCUGCCCGCAGAUCCUUCCGGCUCUCACAGCUCGCUGGAACAAAUGAGUGGGAGCAACCUGGCUCAGCUACUUCAGCCCUUCUCCCUGCACUUGCCCAGGACCAAACCCUGACCCUGCACCUCUGGAAAGGACCAGGACAACCCCAGCUGCCUGGCUUGCAGGACACGGGGAGACUGGAGCAGGGAAGAUGCAGCUUCUCAACUGCCACAGUAUCCCCCAGGCAGCCCUGCAGAUAUGGGCCUUUUCUUGUCAGCCCUGCCCCAGCAAAAACACAGCAGAGCAAGGGUGAGUCCCAAGGGCUCUCUGCUCCUUUAGCCUCGGGAGAAGCAGCUGGAGUGGAAAGCUGGGAAUGCUGCAGAGAAGCAUUCAGAGUCAUGCACAUGGAGAUGGGAUACUCGGACACCGUGGCCGCCUGAGCAUGAGUUCCCUGCAUGGUCCCUUCUCAGUCAGCUUUCCUGACCUCGUGUUGCAGCAAAGCAAAAAAUAACCACAGCCUUGGUGAGAGGAAAUGCACGAGAAGAGUGGAAGGGAAGCGGUGGUUUUGGCAGAGCCAUUUGCUGGGAAAAGCGAGGAGGGAUGAGACGGGGAGGAUACGGCACUUCAUAACCCCUCUGUGCAGCGGUUUCAUCGCCUGCACUCCUCCAAGUCAUCUCCAAAUCCCCUGCGUCUCAGCACUAAAAAUAUCCCUGCCGCCCAGAGCUCUUUUACCCAGCAGAGGCUGUGUCAUAAGACCCUGCUAUUUACGGGGCUCUGAUUCAAUUCCUGCAGCCGCGGGAGGAUGAAAAAGCCGGGAGGGCAGCGCGGCGUGCGGGAAGGGACAGGCUCGGCGUGCAGACGUACGGCAGUUCGGCUCCCAGUCGCCCCACACCGCUGUUCGUGCCUUGCUCUGCUCGCUCUCUUCACCCUUAAGCCCUGCUGGUGCGGGGGCACCUGCCGCUCCGGGGGGCUCACGGACAGCCGCCCUCU
This 1141-nucleotide long non-coding RNA is filed under the name Chrysolophus pictus (golden pheasant). Its description in RNAcentral is "lncRNA (ENSCPIG00010001098.1)". The record is from RNAcentral. Lineage: Eukaryota; Metazoa; Chordata; Aves; Galliformes; Phasianidae.